GAUGAACGCUGGCGGCGUGCCUAAUACAUGCAAGUCGAGCGAACAGACGAUGAUCUUGCUCCUCUGACGUUAGCGGCGGACGGGUGAAUCACACGUGUAUAACCUACCUAUAAUACUGGUAUAACUUCGGAAAACCGGCGCUAAUACCGGAUAAUAUAUUGCACCGCAUUGUUCAAUGGUGAAAUACGGUUUUUGUGUCUCUUCUCGAUGCAUCCCCGCCGCAUUAGCUAGUUGGUAAGGUAACGGCUUACCAAGGCAACGAUGCGUAGCCGAACUGAGAGGGUGAUAGGCCACACUGGAACGGAGACACGGACAAGACGACUACGGGAGGCAGCAGUAGGGAAUCUUCCGCAAUGGGCGAAAGCAUGACGGAGCAACGCCGAGUGAGUGAUGAAGGUCCUCGGAUCGUAAAGAUCUGUUAUUAGGGAAGAACAAAUGUGUAAGUAACUAUGCACGUAUUGACGGUAACUAAUAAGAAAGCAACGGCUAACUACGUG
RNAcentral lists this ribosomal RNA (497 nucleotides) under uncultured bacterium. RNAcentral's name for it is "partial 16S ribosomal RNA". It matches the Rfam family "Bacterial small subunit ribosomal RNA", at positions 28 to 507 of the family's 1533-position model. The record is from RNAcentral.